AGCAAAGGAUACCAGCAGUCCACAAUUUGCUGGAACUUUUCUACUUCGAAGUUAUAGUCACGAAGGCACCAAGCUUACUGCAAGAGAUUCUCCCUCGCUCAGGGCCACCAAUUCUGCCACCAUGCUCAACUCCAGAGCCCUGGUCUUCUCCUACAGGUCUGUUCCACCUUCCAGAGAACCCAACAGCCUGCAUUUUCCUGACUUGUCCUUGGCUAGGAGCCAUGUGACCCUCCUCAGUGGGUUCUGUGUCUUACAGGAGGGAAAACAUUUCCUUUCCUUGCCAACGCUGACCGAUCAGCAAUUAAGCAUCGUCUUCAAAAGGGUUCUCAGGUGCUUCCUGAAGGCAAGAGUGCUGCAGUUGAUUAGCAAUGUCUGCGUGGACCACAGGAGGGGUGUGAUGGUUCAAAUUUUGCCAGCCCUGAUUUACCAGGCCUUAUUAUAGAAGCAAACUGCCAGUGUGGAACAGGAGCCUCAUUCUCCUUAGAAAACAAUAGGUGGAAAGAUGGUGGGAAACUACGUGCCCCAUUCUAUAGAAGACCCUUAAAAAUAGCUUGCCCCAAAUUAAGAUGGUCACAGUGUACACUGAGGCAGCCAGGACAUCCCUACUAUCAGAAUGUGCAAAAUAACAUUGGAAGCAAACAGUAUUGCAAACAACGAAAAGAGCUUUGUGAGAACCAGGAUGGUGGAAAUAAAUUCUUAGAAAAGCAGAACCAGAUAAUUAAGUUAGAGACACAUGUACACCAUGUACCCAGAAGAUCUGGGUUUUUUUUAUAUUGCUCCAAACUGUAUUACUUCUUAGCCUGAGUUGGUGACCUUAAUUGAUUUAUUUUCAUGAGCACAGCUAUAAUGUAAAGACUACAUAAGCAUGUGGAUUAGUCAGUCCUCUGUGCCUAAAUUUAAUUCCAGUUAAUAACAAUAAAACAAUAAUUGUCGUUAUUAUUA
Molecule: long non-coding RNA, 942 nt
Organism: Condylura cristata (star-nosed mole)
Lineage: Eukaryota; Metazoa; Chordata; Mammalia; Eulipotyphla; Talpidae
Exons: 3
Source: RefSeq, a predicted model, not a curated record